This 430-nucleotide ribosomal RNA is filed under the name bacterium. RNAcentral describes it as "partial 16S ribosomal RNA". It matches the Rfam family "Bacterial small subunit ribosomal RNA", at positions 355 to 776 of the family's 1533-position model. The record is from RNAcentral.
UGGGGAAUAUUGGACAAUGGGCGAAAGCCUGAUCCAGCCAUGCCGCGUGUGUGAAGAAGGCCUUUUGGUUGUAAAGCACUUUAAGCGAGGAGGAGGCUACUUAGAUUAAUACUCUAGGAUAGUGGACGUUACUCGCAGAAUAAGCACCGGCUAACUCUGUGCCAGCAGCCGCGGUAAUACAGAGGGUGCGAGCGUUAAUCGGAUUUACUGGGCAUAAAGCGUGCGUAGGCGGCUUUUUAAGUCGGAUGUGAAAUCCCUGAGCUUAACUUAGGAAUUGCAUUCGAUACUGGGAAGCUAGAGUAUGGGAGAGGAUGGUAGAAUUCCAGGUGUAGCGGUGAAAUGCGUAGAGAUCUGGAGGAAUACCGAUGGCGAAGGCAGCCAUCUGGCCUAAUACUGACGCUGAGGUACGAAAGCAUGGGGAGCAAACAGG